This 594-nucleotide ribosomal RNA is filed under the name uncultured Bacteroidota bacterium. Its description in RNAcentral is "bacterial SSU rRNA". It matches the Rfam family "Bacterial small subunit ribosomal RNA", at positions 122 to 715 of the family's 1533-position model. The record is from RNAcentral. Lineage: Bacteria; Pseudomonadati; Bacteroidota.
CAACCUGCCGAUAACUCGGGGAUAGCCUUUCGAAAGAAAGAUUAAUACCCGAUAGUAUAAUUAGACCGCAUGGUCUUAUUAUUAAAGAAUUUCGGUUAUCGAUGGGGAUGCGUUCCAUUAGGCAGUUGGUGAGGUAACGGCUCACCAAACCUUCGAUGGAUAGGGGUUCUGAGAGGAAGGUCCCCCACAUUGGAACUGAGACACGGUCCAAACUCCUACGGGAGGCAGCAGUGAGGAAUAUUGGUCAAUGGGCGCAGGCCUGAACCAGCCAAGUAGCGUGAAGGAUGACUGCCCUAUGGGUUGUAAACUCCUUUUAUAUGGGAAUAAAGUUUUCCACGUGUGGAAUUUUGUAUGUACCAUAUGAAUAAGGAUCGGCUAACUCCGUGCCAGCAGCCGCGGUAAUACGGAGGAUCCGAGCGUUAUCCGGAUUUAUUGGGUUUAAAGGGAGCGUAGGUGGACAGUUAAGUCAGUUGUGAAAGUUUGCGGCUCAACCGUAAAAUUGCAGUUGAUACUGGCUGUCUUGAGUACAGUAGAGGUGGGCGGAAUUCGUGGUGUAGCGGUGAAAUGCUUAGAUAUCACGAAGAACUCCGAUUG